This 492-nucleotide ribosomal RNA is filed under the name uncultured bacterium. RNAcentral describes it as "partial 16S ribosomal RNA". It matches the Rfam family "Bacterial small subunit ribosomal RNA", at positions 29 to 507 of the family's 1533-position model. The record is from RNAcentral.
AGUGAACGCUGGCGGUAGGCCUAACACAUGCAAGUCGAACGGCAGCACAGUAAGAGCUUGCUCUUACGGGUGGCGAGUGGCGGACGGGUGAGGAAUACAUCGGAAUCUACUUUUUCGUGGGGGAUAACGUAGGGAAACUUACGCUAAUACCGCAUACGACCUACGGGUGAAAGCAGGGGAUCUUCGGACCUUGCGCGAUUGAAUGAGCCGAUGUCGGAUUAGCUAGUUGGCGGGGUAAAGGCCCACCAAGGCGACGAUCCGUAGCUGGUCUGAGAGGAUGAUCAGCCACACUGGAACUGAGACACGGUCCAGACUCCUACGGGAGGCAGCAGUGGGGAAUAUUGGACAAUGGGCGCAAGCCUGAUCCAGCCAUACCGCGUGGGUGAAGAAGGCCUUCGGGUUGUAAAGCCCUUUUGUUGGGAAAGAAAAGCAGCAGGUUAAUACCACGCUGUUCUGACGGUACCCAAAGAAUAAGCACCGGCUAACCUCGUG